This is a long non-coding RNA of Phlebotomus papatasi, 365 nucleotides long. RefSeq lists it as uncharacterized. The transcript is spliced from 2 exons. The record is from RefSeq and is a predicted model, not a curated record. Lineage: Eukaryota; Metazoa; Arthropoda; Insecta; Diptera; Psychodidae.
AAUAAUAUUCUAAAAUCAAAACCAUAUUAGUCUUAAAUAUUUCAGAUUAAGCAACAUACUUCAGUGGAGAUGAAUUCCGAUUGGAAAAGUUUAUAUAAAAAUAUCGAAAUAAGACAGACUAUGAGAGGUUCUAAGCCUUGAUACUCUAAAAUCAAAACCAUUAUACUCUUAAAUAUUUCAGAUUAAGCAACAUACUUCAGUGGAGGUAAAUUCCGAUUGGCAAAGUUCAUAUAGAAAAUUGAAAUGAAAGAUGCAUAUGAGAGUUUCAUGGAAGUGAAUACGCGCGCAUCAUAUGCAUCACGUGGAAAAAGAACCAGCAAUACUCGACAAUCAACACAGCAAACACUCCAAAAUCAAAACCAUGG